Zalophus californianus (California sea lion) is the source of this 241-nucleotide long non-coding RNA. RefSeq lists it as uncharacterized. The transcript has 3 exons. NCBI's taxonomy places the organism in Eukaryota, Metazoa, Chordata, Mammalia, Carnivora, Otariidae. The record is from RefSeq and is a predicted model, not a curated record.
CGAGCAUUUUGUGUCCUUCCUGCGCUGCCUGCGGCCGCCCCUGAGCACAUGGGCGAACCGGCUUCAGGGCAGCCGCAAGACUUCACCGAGAAUGUUGCCAGGUAAGCUGAGGUGGAGAAGGACCCUGCCAGGGUCACUGCAAGAAGAGCUUUGGGACAAAGCCAGUCUAGGAUACAUUGGAUUGCAGCCUGGAGUUCUAGUCAGAGGGAUGACAGAUCUUCAUAUUAAACACAGGCAGAGA